GCCUAUAUGAAGUCGGAAUUGCUAGUAAUCGCGGAUCAGCAUGCCGCGGUGAAUACGUUCCCGGGCCUUGUACACACCGCCCGUCACACCAUGAGAGUCGAUAACACCCGAAGCCUGUAGUCUAACCAUAUGGGGGACGCAGUCGAAGGUGGGAUUGAUAAUUAGGGUGAAGUCGUAACAAGGUAAC
RNAcentral lists this ribosomal RNA (187 nucleotides) under uncultured bacterium. Its description in RNAcentral is "partial 16S ribosomal RNA". It matches the Rfam family "Bacterial small subunit ribosomal RNA", at positions 1314 to 1500 of the family's 1533-position model. The record is from RNAcentral.